GGAGCGGCAGACGGGUGAGUAACGCGUGGGAAUCUACCCAUCACUACGGAACAACUCCGGGAAACUGGAGCUAAUACCGUAUACGUCCUUCGGGAGAAAGAUUUAUCGGUGAUGGAUGAGCCCGCGUUGGAUUAGCUAGUUGGUGGGGUAAUGGCCUACCAAGGCGACGAUCCAUAGCUGGUCUGAGAGGAUGAUCAGCCACACUGGGACUGAGACACGGCCCAGACUCCUACGGGAGGCAGCAGUGGGGAAUAUUGGACAAUGGGCGAAAGCCUGAUCCAGCCAUGCCGCGUGAGUGAUGAAGGCCCUAGGGUUGUAAAGCUCUUUCACCGGUGAAGAUAAUGACGGUAACCGGAGAAGAAGCCCCGGCUAACUUCGUGCCAGCAGCCGCGGUAAUACGAAGGGGGCUAGCGUUGUUCGGAAUUACUGGGCGUAAAGCGCACGUAGGCGGAUA
RNAcentral lists this ribosomal RNA (454 nucleotides) under uncultured Mesorhizobium sp. RNAcentral's name for it is "bacterial SSU rRNA". It matches the Rfam family "Bacterial small subunit ribosomal RNA", at positions 92 to 581 of the family's 1533-position model. The record is from RNAcentral. Lineage: Bacteria; Pseudomonadati; Pseudomonadota; Alphaproteobacteria; Hyphomicrobiales; Phyllobacteriaceae.